GAUGAACGCUGGCGGCGUGCCUAAUACAUGCAAGUCGAGCGAACAGACGAGGAGCUUGCUCCUCUGACGUUAGCGGCGGACGGGUGAGUAACACGUGGAUAACCUACCUAUAAGACUGGGAUAACUUCGGGAAACCGGAGCUAAUACCGGAUAAUAUAUUGAACCGCAUGGUUCAAUAGUGAAAGACGGUUUUGCUGUCACUUAUAGAUGGAUCCGCGCCGCAUUAGCUAGUUGGUAAGGUAACGGCUUACCAAGGCAACGAUGCGUAGCCGACCUGAGAGUGUGAUCGGCCACACUGGAACUGAGACACGGUCCAGACUCCUACGGGAGGCAGCAGUAGGGAAUCGUCCGCAAUGGGCGAAAGCCUGACGGAGCAACGCCGCGUGAGUGAUGAAGGUCUUCGGAUCGUAAAACUCUGUUAUUAGGGAAGAACAAAUGUGUAAGUAACUAUGCACGUCUUGACGGUACCUAAUCAGAAAGCCACGGCUAACUACGUG
Molecule: ribosomal RNA, 497 nt
Filed under: uncultured bacterium
Lineage: Bacteria
Description: partial 16S ribosomal RNA
Rfam family: Bacterial small subunit ribosomal RNA
Source: RNAcentral